This 252-nucleotide ribosomal RNA is filed under the name uncultured bacterium. RNAcentral's name for it is "partial 16S ribosomal RNA". It matches the Rfam family "Bacterial small subunit ribosomal RNA", at positions 524 to 776 of the family's 1533-position model. The record is from RNAcentral.
UACGGAGGAUGCGAGCGUUAUCCGGAUUUAUUGGGUUUAAAGGGUGCGCAGGCGGCACGGCAAGCCGGCGGUCAAAUCGCGGGGCUCAACCCCGCCCAGCCGUCGGAACUGCCGGGCUAGAGUGGGCGAGAAGUGCGCGGAAUGCGUGGUGUAGCGGUGAAAUGCAUAGAUAUCACGCAGAACUCCGAUUGCGAAGGCAGCGCACCGGCGCCCUACUGACGCUCAGGCACGAAAGUGUGGGGAGCAAACAGG